Molecule: non-coding RNA, 108 nt
Filed under: Escherichia coli
Lineage: Bacteria; Pseudomonadati; Pseudomonadota; Gammaproteobacteria; Enterobacterales; Enterobacteriaceae
Description: antisense sRNA RprA
Rfam family: RprA RNA
About the family: Translational regulation of the stationary phase sigma factor RpoS is mediated by the formation of a double-stranded RNA stem-loop structure in the upstream region of the rpoS messenger RNA, occluding the translation initiation site. Clones carrying rprA (RpoS regulator RNA A) increased the translation of RpoS. The rprA gene encodes a 106 nucleotide regulatory RNA.
Source: RNAcentral
ACGGUUAUAAAUCAACAUAUUGAUUUAUAAGCAUGGAAACCCCCUGAGUGAAACAACGAAUUGCUGUGUGUAGUCUUUGCCCAUCUCCCACGAUGGGCUUUUUUUUAA